This 121-nucleotide non-coding RNA is filed under the name human gut metagenome. RNAcentral describes it as "yjdF RNA". It matches the Rfam family "azaaromatic riboswitch aptamer (yjdF RNA)". The record is from RNAcentral.
CAGGAUAAAAACGCAACGCGGGGGCUUUUGCCGCCGCCAGAGCUGGUAGGUAGCCCAGCCGUCUGCGCUUCGGCGCAGGUAAGUAACCCUCCCCUCCGGGUCGUCCGUUCCUGUGAAAAUA